UCCUCGGUAGUAUAGUAUACCCGCCUGUCACGCGGGAGACCGGGGUUCGAUUCCCAGCCGGGGAG
Biomphalaria pfeifferi is the source of this 65-nucleotide non-coding RNA. Lineage: Eukaryota; Metazoa; Mollusca; Gastropoda; Planorbidae. The record is from the annotation of a GenBank genome assembly.